Molecule: ribosomal RNA, 432 nt
Filed under: uncultured bacterium
Lineage: Bacteria
Description: partial 16S ribosomal RNA
Rfam family: Bacterial small subunit ribosomal RNA
Source: RNAcentral
GCGCACGCUGGCGGCCGGCCUAACCCCUGCAAGUCGCACGAACUCUUCGGAGUUAGUGGCGGACGGGUGAGUAACACGUGGGAACGUGCCUUUUGGUUCGGAAUAACUCAGGGAAACUUGUGCUAAUACCGAAUGUGCCCUUCGGGGGAAAGAUUUAUCGCCAUUAGAGCGGCCCGCGUCUGAUUAGCUAGUUGGUGAGGUAACGGCUCACCAAGGCGACGAUCAGUAGCUGGUCUGAGAGGAUGACCAGCCACACUGGGACUGAGACACGGCCCAGACUCCUACGGGAGGCAGCAGUGGGGAAUCUUGCGCAAUGGGCGAAAGCCUGACGCAGCCAUGCCGCGUGAAUGAUGAAGGUCUUAGGAUUGUAAAAUUCUUUCACCGGGGACGAUAAUGACGGUACCCGGAGAAGAAGCCCCGGCUAACUUCGUG